UAAACAGUGUACAUUGAGAUUUAUUAGAACAAGCACUAAUAGCAGCAGUGUACAGAGUGAUGGAGACAAGGUACUGUAUGCAUUGAACAAUAAUAAUUAUACAAUUGCACUUCUUCAGAGAUCUAUUAGAAAAUGCUUUUCAGUAAACAGUUUCCCAAAUCUAGCAUUGUUUGGAUUUGCCUCUGAGGAAAACAAUACAAAAAAUACGCUUUUUUUUUUUUUUUUGGUAAGGCAUUAGCAACAUUCAUUGGCAGGCUAAACAAGUCAUUUGUACAUGCAUUAUCCAACUACAUUGCAACAGGUAAAGAAGCGUCAUGUUCCCUCAAUAACUAGAAUUGCGUGUGUGUGUGUUUUGGACACAAUAUCCUGGUAAGUCCAGAUCAGCCUGAAGGAAACAGAUGACAUCUUUUGUUACAUUUUAGAGCACAACAUAAACUAUAGCAAAGCCAGGUUCACCUUUAUUUCCUACCAGAAGCUGUAGGACCUCUCUCAGUUGGAGUCGGUAUUAUGGAUAUUGUGUAUACCACAUACAUCACUGGAAUAAAGUCUUAAUUAAAUUAAAUAGUAAUUAAAUUACUAUUCCCCCCAUAGUACCUCCCUGAAUCAUGUGGCCAAAAGAUGCUCAACUGUAAUCAAUAUUAACUACUAUAUGAGCUUGGGGUUUAUUGCAUGAGAGGUAGUCAGCGUGAGGCCUCAUCUCAUUCUGGAUUACUACAACAGUAUGUUCAAAACCAAUCCAUGAGUGCAAAGACACAGAAUAAGUGUUGUAGCUGCAUUAUGUGGGAUAAAACUGUUUUUAAUUCUGCUCCUUCCUGACUAGGUUCAAUCUCUGAAGUAGCCAGAGAACUUGAUAUACCAAAAAAAAGCAAUUCUAUUCAUGUGCUAAACCCUAGAAGGAGAGAGGGGAGGCACUUCCUCACAUUCAUGUUAUUCUAGGCUGAGAUUAGGUGCAUGCUCUUAGUUAGCCACUUCCUUCUUUGCAAAUAACAAAGAUUACUCUCCCUUUCUGAUGGGCAUACAGUACUAGCAACCCUCGCUCUGGGCUGGCACCAUCCUGGGGAAAGUACAGGGAAACAGGUAUAAGAAAUGCAAAUAUUCUUAAAAUUGAGCUUGUCAGAGUGAGACAUAAUAUGAUGAAUUGUCAUUGAUUUAAUCUCAUGUUCUUUUUUCCAAAUGUCUUAUAUAAUUGAGCUUUGCAGAGACAUGAAGCUAACUGCUUUUUAAAAAAUACAAACCUCAGAAUAAAUCCAAAAUCCAAGAGAGUCAAAGGAAAGUCAAAUAUAUUGCUCUGAUUGGCAAGCAGUCAAACCAGCUGUAUUUCACACAUUUACCUUCCACAAGACAGUGCACAUAUUCAAAAUUAAUCUUAAGUGUAACUAUUUGAGUAUCUAGGCUUGACUGUAAGAUAGGCCCACAGCUGAAACAGAUUCGGGCAGCCAGAUCAUCCACUCAGCUGGAAGCUCACUGAGUUGUACCAACAGCAUCUCAGCCUCAUCUGCAUAGGUGCUCAUUCAUUUAAGCAUGUAGGAAUUAAAAAUCAAGUACUAUAGCAUCUGAUGUAACCAGAUACAUUGUUUUGAUUUCUUAGGAACGUCACUAUUGAUUCUCUUUUUUUGAACUUUAGUAUCUACACCUUUUAAACUGAAUUCAAUGAGAAUGUUUGCAAUGUUUAUGCUAAACACAUAUCGAUGCCAGUGUAAGAUCAGAGUCCAAGCAGAUGAAGCAGGAAAAGAAACAAAAUAAAAAUCUGAGUUGUGUAUUGCUGAUUAACUGUAAUAAAAGUCUAUAGAUUUAGAAUGUACAAAUUAUAUCCUACCCAUGUCAUUCCUCAGAUGUUGAUGCUUAGUAACUGUAAGCAAUACAAUUGUUUUUACAGGCACAAUUACAAACAGCAUUUAGAGUCAGAAUUGAUAAAAUGUAAAGAAGAAUCAUCCUGAAAGAUAUCCCAAACUUAUAAAUAGUCAAGCACAAAUGAAUGCAUUUGCAGGAAAGCAAUCAAGAUCAAUCAAGUUUUAUGUUUUCAAAUGUUAAAUUACUGAAUGUACCAUGAAGGACUAAACUUGUGCUUUAAAAAAUUGUGAUACUUCAAGUAGCUUUCAUAGUUUUCAAAACAAGUAUUUGCAAAUCAAUUUUCUAUUGAGUUGUUUAGAAAUUAUAGUACUGACUUUUUUUUUUUUCCCAGUUUCCUUUUUUUCUUCAUCUCAUUAUGGAAGUCCACAGUGAAUUUCUGAGCAUAAAAUUAAAGGUGCUGCAGGUGAAGUUUAAUAUUACAGUGCUCAAAAGUAACACCUUCUGCAUCAUUUAGGUAGCCGAGUACAUAAAUGCUUCUUUCUUUCUUUCCCUAAGUAAUAGUUUUCUAUUGCUUUCAAACAACAGAAAAAAAAAAUCUGGUGCACCUAGAAACACCACCCUUUCUAAUACAGUCUGUUCUUUCCCUCUAAAACAGACUCUUGUCUAACCAGUAUUCAAAAGCAGUUCUGACUCUAUUUGCUAAGCUUCUAGAAAGCAACUAUUUGCCUUUAAAAUCCAUCUUAAACACUGCAAAGCAAGGUUCUGUAUACCUUUCUAGCUGACAUAAUAGCAUAAUCCCAAUGGAGAGACUCUUGAGGACCUCAUUUUACAAGUAUGCUACACAGAGGUGUACAAGAAUUCACCAGAUUGCGGGGGGCGGGGGUGAGGGCGGCGCUGUAGGAUGAGCACAGGGGUAUGGGCAAUCAGCAAAGAAUGCUCUUUUAGCUAUUUAGAUUUUUGCAUUUUGACUCGCUAAAGAAUUGUUGCAGGGCUUUUUCCCAUCUGAAAUUAAAGGCUGUUACAAGCAAAGCAGCUCAGUAAGGCAAUGUAAAAUUGGCAACCAUCUAAACCUUACUCUUCUAAUGGCAUUU
Strigops habroptila (Kakapo) is the source of this 2882-nucleotide long non-coding RNA. NCBI's taxonomy places the organism in Eukaryota, Metazoa, Chordata, Aves, Psittaciformes, Psittacidae. The record is from Ensembl.